GACGAACGCUGGCGGCGUGCUUAACACAUGCAAGUCGAACGGUAAGGCCCUUCGGGGUACACGAGUGGCGAACGGGUGAGUAACACGUGGGUGAUCUGCCCUGCACUUCGGGAUAAGCCUGGGAAACUGGGUCUAAUACCGGAUAGGACCACUGCCUGCAUGGGUGGUGGUGGAAAGCUUUUGCGGUGUGGGAGAGGCCCGCGGCCUAUCGGCUUGUUGGUGGGGUGAUGGCAUACCAAGGCGACGACGGGUAGCCGGGCUGAGAGGGUGACCGGCCACGCGGGGACUGGGAUACGGCCCAGACUACUACGGGAGGCAGGAGUGGGGAAUAUUGCACAAUGGGAGCAAGCCUGAUGCAGCGACGCCGCGUGAGGGAUGACGGCCUUCGGGUUGUAAACCUCUUUCAGCACCGACGAAGCGCAAGUGACGGUAGGUGCAGAAGAAGGACCGGCCAACUACGUGCCAGCCGCCGCAGUAA
This 478-nucleotide ribosomal RNA is filed under the name uncultured bacterium. RNAcentral describes it as "partial 16S ribosomal RNA". It matches the Rfam family "Bacterial small subunit ribosomal RNA", at positions 28 to 523 of the family's 1533-position model. The record is from RNAcentral.